This is a small nucleolar RNA of Rhinolophus ferrumequinum (greater horseshoe bat), 109 nucleotides long. Lineage: Eukaryota; Metazoa; Chordata; Mammalia; Chiroptera; Rhinolophidae. The record is from Ensembl.
AUCCUUUUGUAGUUCAUAAGUUGAGUGUGAUGACUGGAUGUUCACGCUCUUGUGUAAGAUGUGCCUCCCUCAAACCUUGUUACGACUUCGGCACAUUAUCCGUCUGAAA